GACGAACGCUGGCGGCGUGCCUAAUACAUGCAAGUCGAACGCAGUGGGGGCGGGUGCGUAACACGUGGGUAACCUCCCAUCAGAGUGGAUAAAACUUGGAAACAGGUGCUAAACCGAUAUUGAUGUAUCGACCAGAUGUGCAUUAGCUUGUUGGGGUGGUAACGGCUCACCUAGUCGAAGAUGCAUAGCCGACCGGAGAGGAUGAUCAGCCACACUGGAACUGAGACACGGCCCAGACUCCUACGGGAGGCAGCAGUAGGGAAUAUUCGGCAAUGGACGAAAGUCUGAACGAGCAACGCCGCGUGCAUGAAGAAGGUUUUCGGGUCGUAAAGCUCUGUUGUUGGAGAAGCGGUAUCCAACCAAGAAGCCACGGCUAACUACGUGCCAGCAGCCGCGGUAAUAC
This 403-nucleotide ribosomal RNA is filed under the name uncultured bacterium. RNAcentral describes it as "partial 16S ribosomal RNA". It matches the Rfam family "Bacterial small subunit ribosomal RNA", at positions 28 to 526 of the family's 1533-position model. The record is from RNAcentral.